CUCACACUUGCUUAGACCUGCCUGCCCCAGCCUCUGCUAAAUUGAUGUGGCUGAAAAAGAAAAAUAACUUCCUAAACCGCCUGUUUGAUAACCCCUCAGCACAGCUCCAGGUCUACUC
Long non-coding RNA from Neotoma lepida (desert woodrat), 118 nucleotides. It matches the Rfam family "SPRY4-IT1 conserved region 2". NCBI's taxonomy places the organism in Eukaryota, Metazoa, Chordata, Mammalia, Rodentia, Cricetidae. The record is from Rfam.